UUGAACGCUGGCGGCAGGCCUAACACAUGCAAGUCGAGCGGAUGAAGGGAGCUUGCUCCUGGAUUCAGCGGCGGACGGGUGAGUAAUGCCUAGGAAUCUGCCUGGUAGUGGGGGAUAACGUCCGGAAACGGGCGCUAAUACCGCAUACGUCCUGAGGGAGAAAGUGGGGGAUCUUCGGACCUCACGCUAUCAGAUGAGCCUAGGUCGGAUUAGCUAGUUGGUGGGGUAAAGGCCUACCAAGGCGACGAUCCGAAACUGGUCUGAGAGGAUGAUCAGUCACACUGGAACUGAGACACGGUCCAGACUCCUACGGGAGGCAGCAGUGGGGAAUAUUGGACAAUGGGCGAAAGCCUGAUCCAGCCAUGCCGCGUGUGUGAAGAAGGUCUUCGGAUUGUAAAGCACUUUAAGUUGGGAGGAAGGGCAGUAAGUUAAUACCUUGCUGUUUUGACGUUACCAACAGAAUAAGCACCGGCUAACUUCGUG
This 483-nucleotide ribosomal RNA is filed under the name uncultured bacterium. RNAcentral describes it as "partial 16S ribosomal RNA". It matches the Rfam family "Bacterial small subunit ribosomal RNA", at positions 30 to 507 of the family's 1533-position model. The record is from RNAcentral.